AGCAGCCGCGGUAAUUCCAGCUCCAAUAGCGUAUAUUAAAGUUGCUGCAGUUAAAAAGCUCGUAGUUGAAUUUCGGGACCAUCAUGUCGGUCGUGCCUCGGUACGUACUGGUAUUGUUGGUUUCUCCCUUCUGACGAACCAUGAUGUCAUUUAUUUGGUGUUGUGGGGAAUCAGGACUGUUACUUUGAAAAAAUUAGAGUGUUUAAAGCAGGCUCACGCUUGAAUACAUUAGCAUGGAAUAAUGAAAUAGGACGUUUGAUUCUAUUUUGUUGGUUUCUAGGAUCGACGUAAUGAUUAAUAGGGAUAGUUGGGGGCAUUAGUAUUCAAUUGUCAGAGGUGAAAUUCUUGGAUUUAUUGAAGACUAACUACUGCGAAAGCAUUUGCCAAGGAUGUUUUCAUUAAUCAAGAACGAAAGUUAGGGGAUCGAAGACGAUCAGAUACCGUCGUAGUCUUAACCAUAAACUAUGCCGACUAGGGAUCGGAUGAUGUUAAUUUUUUAAUGACUCA
RNAcentral lists this ribosomal RNA (507 nucleotides) under uncultured fungus. RNAcentral's name for it is "SSU rRNA". It matches the Rfam family "Eukaryotic small subunit ribosomal RNA", at positions 569 to 1078 of the family's 1831-position model. The record is from RNAcentral. Lineage: Eukaryota; Fungi.